CCUACGGGUGGCAGCAGUGAGGAAUAUUGGUCAAUGGACGAGAGUCUGAACCAGCCAAGUAGCGUGAAGGAUGACUGCCCUAUGGGUUGUAAACUUCUUUUAUAUGGGAAUAAAACGUUCCACGUGUGGGAUUUUGUAUGUACCAUAUGAAUAAGGAUCGGCUAACUCCGUGCCAGCAGCCGCGGUAAUACGGAGGAUCCGAGCGUUAUCCGGAUUUAUUGGGUUUAAAGGGAGCGUCGGUGGAUUGUUAAGUCAGUUGUGAAAGUUUGCGGCUCAACCGUACAAUUGCAGUUGAAACUGACAGUCUUGAGUACAGUAGAGGUGGACGGAAUUCGUGGUGUAGCGGUGAAAUGCUUAGAUAUCACGAAGAACUCCGAUUGCGAAGGCAGUUCACUGGACUGCAACUGACACUGAGGCUCGAAAGUGUGGGUAUCAAACAGGAUUAGAUACCCUUGUAGUC
Molecule: ribosomal RNA, 460 nt
Filed under: uncultured bacterium
Lineage: Bacteria
Description: partial 16S ribosomal RNA
Rfam family: Bacterial small subunit ribosomal RNA
Source: RNAcentral